Molecule: non-coding RNA, 102 nt
Filed under: Pessonella sp. PRA-29
Lineage: Eukaryota; Discosea; Flabellinia; Vannellidae
Source: RNAcentral
ACUUUGACGGCAUUGUGCAAGGCUUGAUCGACGCUGCCAACAACGAGCCAAUGUAAUUUAUCUCAAACCCACACUCAUUAAAUAAAUAAAACCAGAAACAAA